UUGGAGGGCAAGUCUGGUGCCAGCAGCCGCGGUAAUUCCAGCUCCAAUAGCGUAUAUUAAAGUUGUUGCAGUUAAAAAGCUCGUAGUUGAAUUUCGGGAUCAAUUUGCUGGUCGUGCCUUUGGUACGUACUGGUAUUAUUGGUUUCUCCUUUCUGAAGAACUGCGAUGUCAUUAAUUUGGUGUCGUAGGGAAUCAGGACUGUUACUUUGAAAAAAUUAGAGUGUUUAAAGCAGGCUUACGCUUGAAUACAUUAGCAUGGAAUAAUGAAAUAGGACGUUUGAUUCUAUUUUGUUGGUUUCUAGGAUUGACGUAAUGAUUAAUAGGGAUAGUUGGGGGCAUUAGUAUUCAAUUGUCAGAGGUGGAAUUCUUGGAUUUAUUGAAGACUAACUACUGCGAAAGCAUUUGCCAAGGAUGUUUUCAUUAAUCAAGAACGAAAGUUAGGGGAUCGAAGACGAUCAGAUACCGUCGUAGUCUUAACCAUAAACUAUGCCGACUAGGGAUCGGAUGAUGUUAAUUUUUUAAUGACUCAUUCGGCGCCUUACGGGAAAC
RNAcentral lists this ribosomal RNA (549 nucleotides) under uncultured Glomeromycotina. RNAcentral's name for it is "SSU rRNA". It matches the Rfam family "Eukaryotic small subunit ribosomal RNA", at positions 548 to 1098 of the family's 1831-position model. Lineage: Eukaryota; Fungi; Glomeromycota. The record is from RNAcentral.